ACUGGUUGCCUGGAAAUAGAGAAA
RNAcentral lists this non-coding RNA (24 nucleotides) under Gossypium hirsutum (cotton). Lineage: Eukaryota; Viridiplantae; Streptophyta; Magnoliopsida; Malvales; Malvaceae. The record is from RNAcentral.